GGAGCCGAACGCGCAUUUAAAGCGAUAGCCAUGCUCGCUCUCUCCCCAGUGCUGGGCUGUUGGAGAGCUCGAGCUGCAAGCCACCGAGCGCGAGCUCGAGCGCGGCGCGCUGGCCGGGGAACCCAAGAGCGCACGGCGCCCCAAGAUGGCAGGCGCCGCGGGACCCCCCACCCUCGCCGGCUGCCCUUUCCCGGGCGCCCCUACCCUCCUCGCCCGCAGGAGACCCUGGGCUUCCCCGGAGGAGCUCACCCCAAGGGGCCAGGACUCCGGCGAGCCCGCCACCGUCCCCUCGAGUGCCGCCGCCACCACCGCAGCCGCGGGAGCAGCAUGGUCCAGCUGGGGAAGCUGCUCCGCGCCCUGACUUUGAUGAAGUUUCCCUGCUGCGUGCUGGAGGUGCUUCUGUGCGCGCUGGCGGCGGCGGCGCGCGGCCAGGAGAUGUACGCCCCGCACUCCAUUCGGAUCGAAGGGGACGUCACCCUCGGGGGGCUGUUCCCGGUGCACGCGAAGGGUCCCAGCGGAGUGCCCUGCGGCGACAUCAAGAGGGAGAACGGGAUCCACAGGCUGGAAGCGAUGCUCUACGCCCUGGACCAGAUCAACAGCGAUCCCAACCUGCUGCCCAACGUGAGGCUGGGAGCGCGGAUCCUGGACACUUGUUCCAGGGACACUUAUGCGCUCGAACAGUCGCUCACUUUCGUCCAGGCGCUCAUCCAGAAGGACACCUCCGAAGUGCGCUGCACCAACGGCGAGCCUCCGGUUUUCGUCAAGCCCGAGAAAGGAGUUGGAGUGAUUGGGGCUUCGGGGAGUUCGGUCUCCAUCAUGGUAGCCAACAUCCUGAGGCUUUUCCAGGUUGAUGGGCGCUACGGGAUAAGGAAAAGGAUGUGAAGCUCACUGAAGAGGCUUGCGUUGGGAGUGCUGGAGGCGUGUACAGGUGGGGAAAAUGUACCAGCGUGUAUGCCUACUGGGACCACGUUUUCCAGAACAGUUAAGCCCAGUGUCAACUAUGCUGUCCCACCUUCCUCCCUAGCCCUGUGGUCUUGGGCUAAUCACUAACCUGCUUAGAUACAAUUUUCUUCUCUAUGAAAUAGAAACAUUAUUAUGUGCUUUGAAGGACUGCAGGAAGAUGAGCUGUAAUGUUUAUCAAGUGCCUAGGUGAGCGGCGAAGCUGCCGAGCGCCCGCGUCGCUGCCGCGGCCGGAAGACAGACGCCCCCCAAAGCCCCUUGCCUGGCUCGGACCAACGGAGCCGGCAGCCCAGCACUCCGGAGAAUCUUGGUACCAGGACCACACAAUGAAGAACUUGGAGUCCCCAUGGCUAAUCCAGCAGAGAAAAAAGGAGGAACAGAGAUGCGAGAGAAAAUAAAGGGAACUCUUGGUGCAAUUCGGUGCUGCUGCAGGCCCAAGUCCAGUUGAUCACACUGUGAGGAAAACAAGUUAGAGAAUGGAAAAACAAUAUUUGGAUUUCAACGAAAUAAUAAAGAUGCAGGGACUAUCUUUGACUUUUGCAAGGUAAGAAGAGAGUUUACAUUUUGAUUAUUUGAUGGCAGGAAUCCCUUUUACAACAGGGCCAGUCUGCAUGAUGCAUUUAAAAAUCAACCUUUUCAAAUAUAGCCAUAACCCCCACAAGAUUUCUUGAUUUCUCUGGGGUCAGAUAAACUGUCACAUUUCACAGUGGUGCCCUGUACAUGAAAAUGAUAAACAUAACCUGGAAGCACGGCAGUGGCUAAAACUAUGGAGCUGGCAGCCAUUCGCUGAAAGGAUUUUUUGCUUUUAAUUCAUUGCAUAAAAUGCUAAUGUCCAAAUUCAGGCAGGUAGAUCUUACCAACCAUCAAGAGCUUCAACCCUGCUAACAGCUAAGUAUGCACUUUUAAACCCUACUUUGACUGCUCCAGAAACUUACUGGGUUUCGUUAAUGCCUCUGUUACUAUUUCCUUUGUGUCGUUUUCUUUUUCUUUAAAAACACAGCUGUGUGAUCUUGGGGAAGUUAUAUUAUUUCCUUGAGACUUGGUUGCCUUCUCUGAAUAUCUGGGUAUAAUUUUAGUAUUGCUCAAUAGAAUUUUUGGUGAUAAUGAAAAUAUUCUAUAUCUGUACCAUGCAAUGCAGUAUUCAAUAGCUACAUGGAGCUAAUAAACAUCUUUGAAAUAUGGCAAAUGCAACUGAGGAACUGAAUUUUUAAUCUUAUUUUUAAAUUUGUUUAAAUAUAAAUAAUGCCAUGUGGCUAGCAUCUGUUGACAGUACAGAUCUACAUAAUAUUUUAAGGACACUCUCCACUCAAAAACUCUACCAUUCAUUAACUCAACCUAAAUAUUUUUGCCCUCUGACAAACAAAAAAUAAUUUAUGCUUCCCUUGAAAUUUUCUGUCAAGACCUUUAUCAGUUUGGGGACAUUAUAUUCUUAAAAUUGACUUUGCUUUAUGAAACUUUAAUAAUGCUGGAGUUUCCUGCCCUUGGUAACACCUUUGUGUUGAUGGGAAAUAUUGUGGAUGAUCAAGGACCAUUUCAAGAGACCAUGGAGAGAAACCUCCUUCUGGAUUUAAUUUCAUUAUGAGGAUGUCAAAAUGCUACAUUACUUAAAAUAAAACCCGUACCGUUUUUAUGCUAAGUUAUAUUCUACAUGUAGAUGGAAAAAUGUUAAAAAGAUUUUUAAAGAACUGCGCAUCUGUUUUUGAAGCUGCUUUGCCUCUUCAAGGCUUGCUAGCACUUUAUCCAUCUCAGUACUAUUUCACUUAGUAAACAAAUGCAGUUGCCAUAAUUGCUGCUUAGGUGUCUGUGUUCCCUUCUAGGCUAUAUGUUUUUGAAAUUAGAUACAAUAUUUAUAUCACAGGCCCUAUGUAUAGCACAAUACCCAUUGCUAAUUCAGAUUGUGUUUUAAGAUAUGAGACAAAAUGUAAGACUUUUAUUUUAGUCAUAAACAUCUAGCAAACCAACCAGAAAAUAAAAGCUAGUUUUCAGUUGGUUGGCCGAGGACAAAAAAGUGAAGAAUACCUAAUGCAAAACCAUAUCUCUAAUAACUACUGUUGGAUUUAGAGCACACACAUGCUAAAAAAUAUCUUCUUAUCAAAGAUUUGAGGUUGGACCUGAAAAAAUUAUAUCAGAAGUGAAAAUAAUCAUGUGGUCUGACCAGUGUGGAUCACACAAAGUAAGUGUAUAUAUAAAGUAGAUAGACUACGAGGUCCUACUGUAUAGCACAGGCAACUAUAUUCAAUACCUUGUAAUAACCUAUAAUGGAAAAGGAUCUGAAGAAGAAAUACAUAUAUCGGAAUCACUUGGCUGUACACCUGAAACACAACAUUGUCAAUCAACUAUACUUCAAGUAAAACAAAACAAAACAAAAAACUAAGUGUAAAGGGAAGUAUACUUUUAUAAAUUCACCUCUGAUAUCCAAUGGACCAACUGAAAGACAACAGAAACUACAACUAUCUAGGAGACAGGACAUGGCCGGCAAACCAGGCCGUUACCCUCGGUAAUGGUCAUACCUGCCAAAAAAUAUACAGACUAGCCUGCAUUCAUGAAUACAUAGGAAUUCUUCAUUUAUCUGGCAUUGUUAGGCAUGAGGUAUUGUAUGUUAGGAGAAGUUUUUUUAAAAUGACAAAUUGAAGAGGAGUUAUUUUAACCUUCACUCGGUAAUGUUUUUCUAAAAUUAAUAAAUGUAUCUACUGGUGUAUCUAAUGUUUCCUUGAUAACUCGGGGUCAUCAGUUCAAUCAACGUUUGCAUGAAUAAUGCAAAUGGAAACAAGACAGGCAUGCUUACUGAAACUGAAAAUGACAUAGCAAUGGCUGGAAUAACUGAUGAGAGAGCAAGAAAAAAGCAAAACUGAAAACAAACCGUGAUCAGGAAACAAUCAGUCAAGUUCUGACUUUCUGUACUUAGUUUCAAAAAGAGAUAUCACAAAUCCCAGCGAGAGACUCCAGCAUCAUUAGCUGUCUUUCUGCUUUGUUUCCACCUUCCUUUCCUUUUCCUUCUACCCUAGAUUGUUCCAGGAAGUGUUUAUAGCUCCUUGCAAGACAAAUUCUAAUACUUGCUUUCUCUCACACAAACUUCACAAUAUGUCCAUGUGGUAAAUGGUGUGGAGGUAAAAGAGAAUUCAUCACAGGGACAGCUCCUACGAAAAUAAAAUUAGAAACUAGCUUCUAAACAUGCAGAGAGAAGGGCGUGGUGUCAGGCACUAAUUUCCUUGCGAAUUCCUCUCCAUUUCUAAUAGACGUUCUUCUUUACCAAGAUCCCUUUUUAUUGGUGUCCUGUUCCAGACUGCUCCACUCCGCCCAUCCUCAUCCUGUAAAAUACAUUCACACUCUUUUGUGACCCUACUUAUUUGCCCAUUAAAUAAUCAAUCAUAGAACUGUCGGAAUUAAAUGUAGAGUGAAAUUAAAAUACUGGAGUCACUUGGAGGGUUUAAGCAGCUCCACCAGAAAAUACUGGGCAUGGAUUUAAAAGAGGCUGCGUGGGACUUGCUCUUGUGCAAGUUCUUUCUCAAGAAGUAUCUGAAAUAAGCCUAAAUUCAGAGUUAAUCAGACUGGCCUGCUUUCUCAGGUGGACUGGAAUUCUGCUCUUUGCUCUCAACUCCCUGAUGUCAGUGGUACUUUCCGGAGAGGAGGUGGACUUCUCUGCCUACUGCAGAAGCACAGUUCCCCCAGGACCCACUCCCCGUCUGAAUCCCACACUGGAGGCCAGAUGCCAGCCUUCCCAGAACAUUCGUGGCCUCCUUUCAGUUUUUGACCUGCUCAGAUUGAGUCCCUCUAGACUCUUUCUGGAAACCUGAUCUUCAACCCCUUUCCCUGACCUCGAUGGUUACCUUCCUACUUUAGGCCUCAGGUGCUUUAGCUAUAAAAUGAUAUAGUUGCCCUUAAUUCUAAAGUCUUCUUUCUAAAGCGCUACAAUGUGGUGGCUCCUUGAAAAUGUUUCUCUUGCUGGUUUUAAUUUUGUAGAGAAUUAAAACCCCAGCCACUCUAAAGGACAGUAAGUUACAUUGGAUAAGGAAAGUGUGCUUUUGUAGUUAGAUUAACAGGGAUGGAAGACGACUUAGUAUGUUUUAAGAUACUCAUGAUCCGUUCUCGUGAGAGUCGGGGAAGAAGGGGAAGAGAGUUAAUAAAAUACCAAACAAUUGUGACAAAUUAAGUUCACCAAGAUGUAGGUGAUUAGUUACUACUUGAAUAAACCACACAAAUCCAAUCCAAGUUUUCCUUUAGUUUUCUAAGAAGGAUCCCAGUGAACUGAGUCGCAUGUUCAGUGACUCCACGUUCAAUGGCUUAGUCUUUAAAAACUGUUAUGUUGCUGGAAGCAGAAAUAUUGCCCAGCAGUCCUAAUUGAUGUUUAGCUAUCACGCACAUUUGAAAUAAAUUUAUUACUUUGCCUGAUCUCAGUGUAAUACAUUCUAAAGGGGCAAAGAGCACACGAAAAGUUAUGGAGUCUCCAUCUUCUACACUGAAGUGUGCAAUAAAUUACAUAUUAUUUGGCCGUGAAAUUCACAAGCCAUAGAAACCACACCAUUAGCAAUGUAUACAGUGGUAAACAGCAGGUAAUGAGAAUGAUAUAAAACCAAACAGACUGUGUAGGUUGGCACUGCUGCCAAUAAAGCAAUUAUUAAAUGCAUUCAUAUGCAUCUACGCUAGGUAAGCUCUUUAGGGCAAUUGAUAUGAGUUCUACAUACCUGUCAGGAUAUUAUAUAUAGCCCACUUUCUAUGGCGUUUAUUCAAAGACGCUGAGAAAGGGUUACUCUGGGUAAAUUCAGACCUUUUCUCAAUAUAGAAUUUGGUCAACAUGCAUUCUGAACAGCAAAAUUUCACAGUAUUUUCCUACACUAAUUGCCACCUCAGCAAAUGCAGGAUUAAGUAUAAUGGAUUAUAAGAAGUUAGAGAGGAAAGAUGGAAGAAAAGAAGGAAGGUAGAAAAAAGGUGGGUAUGGAGUACUUCAACAUUUACGUAGAGAGUGGACCUAAAACUAACCUGAGGUUUCCCUGAAUUAUUAGCAUAUGCUAUAGAAACUUAAAUGAAAAAAUAAAAAAAUCCAGCAAGGGAAACUCAAAGAUUCUUUGUUUCUUCACUUUACUGCAUAUACACGUCCACCUUAAACAAUCUAUAUGCUUAUAUCCAACAAGAGAGCAUUGUUUUGCAAGACUGUUUGGGUUCUAUCAGCAUGUAAAGGUCAGACAACUCAACUUUAGCAGAGUCAGCUUUCAGGUGAAUAAUUGUUUCUUUCAGGUUGCGAGCAUUUGAAUUCUCCAGAAAUGUUUCCCAAAAUAUGAAAAUUAAAAGAGUCCUAGGACAGCGUCCUUUAGAAGUUUUAUAGUAUCAAGGUUUUUGGAGGAGGAGUAUCCUUGUCCAUUAUCAACACAAUGAUUCCAAGCAGGUCAAUUUUUGCUGAGAAUAUUAUAUAACAGAACCCACUUCACCUCCAUUAUACUGACAAUGAUCUUCCUUACUUCAACCUUGUGCUUCUUAUAAAGUUGAAAAUACUGAGCCAAGAACAGACAGUGACAAUGCCAGAGACUCAGAUGUACCUAUAGGUGCCUUCAGACAACAUCAGCCACCCAGGCUAAAGUCCUGGUUUAAAA
This is an RNA transcript of Orcinus orca (killer whale), 6545 nucleotides long. It is a transcript of the gene named metabotropic glutamate receptor 7-like, with no coding region annotated. The transcript is spliced from 7 exons. NCBI's taxonomy places the organism in Eukaryota, Metazoa, Chordata, Mammalia, Artiodactyla, Delphinidae. The record is from RefSeq and is a predicted model, not a curated record.